UACGGAGGGUGCUAGCGUUGUUCGGAAUCAUUGGGCGUAAAGCGCGUGUAGGCGGGUUGGCAUGUCCGUUGUGAAAUCCCUCGGCUCAACCGAGGAACUGCAGCGGAAACUGCCAGUCUUGAGUACGGGAGAGGGAAGGGGAAUUUCCAGUGGAGUGGUGAAAUACGUUGAUAUUGGAGGGAACACCGGUGGCGAAGGCGCCUUCCUGGACCGUCACUGACGCUGAGACGCGAAAGCGUGGGGAGCAAACAGG
Molecule: ribosomal RNA, 253 nt
Filed under: uncultured bacterium
Lineage: Bacteria
Description: partial 16S ribosomal RNA
Rfam family: Bacterial small subunit ribosomal RNA
Source: RNAcentral